Molecule: ribosomal RNA, 253 nt
Filed under: uncultured bacterium
Lineage: Bacteria
Description: partial 16S ribosomal RNA
Rfam family: Bacterial small subunit ribosomal RNA
Source: RNAcentral
UACGUAGGGUGCGAGCGUUGUCCGGAAUUAUUGGGCGUAAAGCGUCUGUAGGUGGCUUUUUAAGUCUGCCGUCAAAUCCCAGGGCUUAACCCCGGGCCUGCAGUGGGUACGGGCAGACUAGAGUGCGGUAGGGGAGACUGGAAUUCCUGGUGUAGCGGUGAAAUGCGCAGAUAUCAGGAGGAACACCGGUGGCGAAGGCGGGUCUCUGGGCCGUAACUGACGCUGAGGAGCGAAAGCGUGGGGAGCGAACAGG